This 128-nucleotide ribosomal RNA is filed under the name uncultured eukaryote. RNAcentral's name for it is "partial small subunit ribosomal RNA". It matches the Rfam family "Eukaryotic small subunit ribosomal RNA", at positions 1651 to 1776 of the family's 1831-position model. The record is from RNAcentral.
CCCUGCCCUUUGUACACACCGCCCGUCGCUACUACCGAUUGAAUGGCUUAGUGAGGUCUCCGGAUUGGCGGUGGGGAGCCGGCAACGGCACCCUAUUGCUGAGAAGCUGAUCAAACUUGGUCAUUUAG